Molecule: long non-coding RNA, 374 nt
Organism: Eubalaena glacialis (North Atlantic right whale)
Lineage: Eukaryota; Metazoa; Chordata; Mammalia; Artiodactyla; Balaenidae
Exons: 2
Source: RefSeq, a predicted model, not a curated record
AGCUGCUCCGAGCUUUUCUGCCAUUUGAAGCUUGUGCUGGGAGCCAGCUGUGACCAGAGGAAUAGCUCCAGCCAUCCGGGGGACACGGGUUCGAUCCCUGGCCCAAGAAGAUCCCACAGGCCACAGUGCAACUAAGCCCGUGCGCCACAACUACUGAGCCUGCUCUCUAAAGCCCGCGAGCCACAACUACUGAAGCCCGUGUGCCUAGAGCCUGUGCUCCACAAUAAGAGAAGCCACCGCAAUGAGAAGCCCGCGCACCGCAACGAAGAGUAGCCCCCACUGGCCGCAACUAGAGAAAACCUGAGCGCAGCAACGAAGACCCAAUGCAGCCAAAAAUAAAUAAACUAGUGUGUGGCCUUGGGCUCAUUGCUGAA